CAUUUUCCCAGUAAACAGAAUGGACAUCGCUCCUCAUCCUCUCACUGGGCACCACCAAGAACAGUCUGACACCGUUCUCUUGAUAUCCACAUUUGAGAUAUGUUGGCCUCCCAACCCCCUGCAGAGCAACAGGUGUUGUCAUUUGGAGAUGUGAUGGCUUAGGAUCGAACAGAAAAGUCAGCUUAGAAAUGAGGUUUUGGGUCAUUGCACAGGAUAGAUAUGAUGAUAUGUGUGGUCAGGCAAAUGUAAGAGCUGGACAGCCAUAUUAUCAUAAAGAAAGGCAUUGCUUCCACAGCAGCAGUGAGUACAGCUGAACUUCCCAAUGUUUCCAACUCUUCCACAAUUAUUUUGUAUGGUUGUUUUGUAUCACAAAAAAGAAGUGAGAGAACUACCAAUAAAAAAUAACUCUUAAUGUGUUUAUUUCUUACAUGAAGACGACAAGGUACUCUACUUUGAGUAUUGGUGGUAAGCAUCUUUACAGUGUGUUUUGUUGUAUUGUCCGUAGUUGACAGCCAUGGAUAAAAGCUUGAUCUUUAUCAAAAAGAAAAGCUACUAGCUAAUUACUCUCUCAAUCUGCAAUCAUAAAGCUGAUAUUUUCAGAUUUACUCAGAAAUUUCUGUACAGUUUUGAAUGAAAGUAUUAGUGUCUACUUCUCAGGUUUUUAACUUUUUUCUGUUAAGGAAAAAUAGCGAGUAAGAGAAAUUGAUUUGUUAAUCAGUUCAUCAUGAUAAAGUUUAUCAUCAUUUAUCAAAUAAUUUAUAUUUAAUCUGAAAACCUAUAUUACUCUAGGGAAAUAGCAUUUCAAAAGUUGCAAGGUUGCUUUUCAGGCAUUCAGCUCAGAUGAGAGCUGAGAACAUCCUGAUGUGAGAUUUUUCUUGAGUGUCUUCUGUGUAAAUGAUUGUAUUUACUGUACUAUAGAAAAAAUUAUUAUAUUACAGACUAUUUUAUAUCCUUCUUUGCCUGGAAGAAACAUAAUUUAUAGUAAAAAUUACAAAAAUAUCUCAGAAGCUUUUUAACAAGAGCUAUUCCUCUUGUAUCACAUCAGAUAUGUUUUCCUUUGUGAAUUGUUAUAGCAGGUGAUAUUUUCUUCUUUGGAUUUGUGUCUGAUGUCAUACUGUAAAGGAAAGCAAACUACAAAAGGCAUCUAUGCAUGUGUUAAAAAACCCCAAAAUUACAAACAAGAAAACCAGCAAACAACAAACACCCCACUAAGAAAGAACCACAAACAAACAAAAAAAACUAAAAAGAAGAAAAAAAACAAAACCAAAAAAAUCAAAGAAAGAAAGAUAGAAAUUAACCAAAACCUAGAAUUAUACAGGAAAAAAAGUGUACCUAUUUCAAGGUGCUUUGCACAAUCAAAAUCAUUUAAUCAAUCAAAAUCAGGUUUCAAUAUAAAACAUGAAUUAAGGAAAUGUACUUUAUUUAGCAGUCUAACUCAAGUAUUUUAGUUUCUUAUACUGAGGAACAAUUGACAGUGUAAUUGAAAAUUACAAUUAAAAGUAAUUGACAGUGGAGACAAAAAUGUCCUUUGGUAUAAAGAGUUAUUUAGUAUAUGAAACCUAAAGCACAUUGACUUAACCAUUAAAAUGCUGGUUUUAUAUAUAGUAUCACUGAAUAAGCAGCAUAUUCUUAUUGCCAGAAUAUCAGUACCAGAGAGUCUUCCAAAAUAUCCUUCAUAAUGUAGGGUAGAAGUAUGUCAAUACAUUUGAUGCAUUCUUUUGACAAGAAAAUGUUUCUUAGCUUGAAAGUUUGGGAAUUGCUGUUGACCAUAUAGUCUACUUGUUUAAAGUGAGGCUAAGAAGAGUCUGUCUAGAGUAAAACAUUUCCAUCUCCCUCAAACCAAAAGAAAAUGUCCUUUAUCGGGAAGCUAAUGUAAUACUGAAAAACAAGUAUAUUAUUUACAUUCUAAUUCUUAAAAUACCU
Long non-coding RNA from Parus major (Great Tit), 1923 nucleotides. RefSeq lists it as uncharacterized. The transcript has 3 exons. Lineage: Eukaryota; Metazoa; Chordata; Aves; Passeriformes; Paridae. The record is from RefSeq and is a predicted model, not a curated record.